Molecule: RNA transcript, 1687 nt
Organism: Myotis lucifugus (little brown bat)
Lineage: Eukaryota; Metazoa; Chordata; Mammalia; Chiroptera; Vespertilionidae
Gene: TMEM222
Gene name: transmembrane protein 222
Exons: 6
Source: RefSeq, a predicted model, not a curated record
GCGGGCCGGAGCGGGGCGCGCACAGCAUGGCGGAAGCGGAAGGGAUUUCGCCUCUCCUGUUGCCGCGGCAGCCACCCCCGCCCGGGAUGGCGGAAGUGGAGGCGCCGACGGCGGCCGAGACGGACCAGAAGCAAUCCAGCGGCACUGGCGGCGGCGCCAUGGACGUGGAGCGGAGCCGCUUUCCCUACUGCGUGGUGUGGACGCCCAUCCCGGUGCUCACGUGGUUUUUCCCCAUCAUUGGCCACAUGGGCAUCUGCACGUCCACAGGAGUCAUUCGGGACUUUGCUGGCCCCUACUUUGUCUCGGAAGACAACAUGGCCUUUGGGAAGCCUGUCAAGUACUGGAAGUUGGACCCUGCUCGGGUAUACGCCAGCGGGCCCAAUGCGUGGGACACAGCUGUGCACGACGCCUCUGAGGAGUACAAGCACCGCAUGCACAAUCUCUGCUGUGACAACUGCCACUCACACGUGGCGUUGGCCCUGAACCUGAUGCGCUACAACAAUAGCACCAACUGGAACAUGGUGACAGUCUGCUUCUUCUGCCUGCUCUAUGGGAAGUAUGUCAGGUGAGCUACCCACCUCCCACCACCCCUUGGAGAUGUUGAAGGUUCUAGAAGAACUAGCGGAGUUCCUGGUGGACAAGGAGGUGGCUGUGCUAAAGCGUCGGGGCCUUCGUGAAGACCUGGCUACCCUUCGUCCUCCUCCUGGGCAUCAUCUUAACUGCCAGCCUGGUCUUUAACCUUCGGUGAUGGCUGCCUCCUGGCCCUGGACCUGCCACUCCUUUUGGUUCCAGAUUCUUUUCCUCUCCCCAAAAGGCAGGGAUGGGCCUGCUGCUGGUUUUGAGCCAGGAGUCUGGGCUAGGUGGGCUGGAAUAGGCUGAGGAUGAGCAGGGCUGGGGGGGCGGGGGGUGUGGUUGCGUAUGGUGUCUCACUGGUCACUCAGAAGUUCCCUGUGCCCUCCUCCCCAGGCCGGUGACCCCUGUGCUUGAGGCACCCUCUCUGCCCAUCUGUUGGAAAGGCUUUAACUUCUCCCUGUAGCUGCUCCUGUGCUGCCUCAGCUCAGUGCCUGGUGGGGAGGGGAGGGCAUUUGGAGCCACCAGACGGGUCAGAGCUGGAUUUGGAGCCUGUUCUCCUGCCAGGGCUCGGUCCUGGGGGGGGCGGGGAACACUAGGAAGUUUCCAUAAGCUAAGCCACCUGGGCCUCUCCGCUGGCCUCCGGAAUGGUCCAGCAGGGCUGGGUGGCCCCCUUUGGCCAGAAGCUGCACUAGGGGUAGUUUGUGCCCCAUCUGGGGUCCUCCAGACCAUGCAGCCCCUUAUUCCCACUCUCCCAGGGCCCAUCUCCCACUUGAGCCCACAUCCCUCAGCAAAUUGGGGCCUGGGCCCCCCAGUCAGGCUGGAGAGAUGAGUGACACUGAUGUGUCCAGAGUGACACCCUGCAGACCAGAGCAGCGGAAACAAAGCCUGGCCCUGGCCCCAGGUGUGGGCCUCACUCUGGGGAUGGCACCCUUGGGUCCAAGAUGUGCCAGAGCAGCCAGCGCCAUCACGGAGCUGAGGGGAGCUGUUUCCUCCUCACCAGGGCUCCCUCUUCUCUUCGCGCUGUGGGAAGGGCCUGUGCUGCCCCUCACCCCUGCCCCACCGAUUCCUGUGGGGGGGGGGGGGGCUCCCUGGACAGGACAAUAAAGAAUUUUAA